Non-coding RNA from Mycena latifolia, 90 nucleotides. The record is from the annotation of a GenBank genome assembly. NCBI's taxonomy places the organism in Eukaryota, Fungi, Basidiomycota, Agaricomycetes, Agaricales, Mycenaceae.
UCGGAUGUGGUGCAUGGUGCAUGCCCGCUAUCUCUGUUCCAGAAUUGGGCCAUGAUGCGGGAGGCCUGGGUUCGACUCCCAGCAUCCGAA